RNAcentral lists this long non-coding RNA (366 nucleotides) under Salmo salar (Atlantic salmon). RNAcentral describes it as "lncRNA (ENSSSAG00000090599.1)". The record is from RNAcentral. Lineage: Eukaryota; Metazoa; Chordata; Actinopteri; Salmoniformes; Salmonidae.
CCCUGGGGUCUAAAGGUCAGCAGUAGUGUUGAUAUUAGUUCCCUGGGGUCAUUAGGUCAGCAGUAGUGUUGAUAUUAGUUCCCUGGGGUCGUUAGGUCAGCAGUAGUGUUGAUAUUAGUUCCCUGGGGUAAUUAGGUCAGCAGUAGUGUUGAUAUUAGUUCCCUGGGGGUCUAAAGGUCAGCAGUAGUGUUGAUAUUAGUUCCCUGGGGUCAUUAGGUCAGCAGUAGUGUUGAUAUUAGUUCCCUGGGGUCUAAAGGUCAGCAGUAGUGUUGAUAUUAGUUCCCUGGGGUCAUUAGGUCAGCAGUAGUGUUGAUAUUAGUUCCCUGGGGUCUAAAGGUCAGCAGUAGUGUUGAUAUUAGUUCCCUG